GCCAGGUGUGGUGGUGUACACCUGUAAUCCCAGCAGCUCAGGAGGCUGAAGCAGGAGGAUUGCAAGUUUGAGUCCAGUGUCAGUAUCUUAGAAAGACCCUCAGCAACUUAGCAAGAUCCUGUCUCAA
Molecule: small RNA, 127 nt
Filed under: Marmota monax (woodchuck)
Lineage: Eukaryota; Metazoa; Chordata; Mammalia; Rodentia; Sciuridae
Source: RNAcentral